AGGUUUUCCCCAAUCCGCACCCCGCGUUCCCCAGCCAAUCCAUCCUCGCCUCGUCCCACUCCCGCACCAGCCACCACCCAAACCCUAGCCCACUUUUCCCUCGAUCCCCAGAACCUCUCCCGCCUCUAUCCCUCCUCCUCGCGUCACCACGGCCUCCACCCCGGAGCCUCGCCGCCGCCUGAUAAUACUCCUCCACCACGCUAGCCCCUCCACCUCACCUUCCUUCUUUUUGUUAUCCGCGCCCGUCAUUGAUGCCUGGUUCCAGAUCGGGCGCGGGUUAGGCGAGGUCGAUGGUGGGGUGAAUGGGCAGGGGAGGCGGGCGACAAGGGCAGGCAACAGUCGGCCCGUCGCGAUGUGGUGAAGCUACAGGGAAGAGGGAGGAGGUCGGCGACAGGGUGAAGGAGCAGGCCGGCCCUCAUGGAGGCAGCGCUAUCAGCCAGCUAGGGAGGCGGUCCGGCUCGCCUCUGCUAUGCCGUGAGCAGCGGCGCUACCUCGGCCUCGAGCCUCACCUCCUCUGCCAAUCUCCUGCCGCGAGACAGUGCCUUCCCACGUUCUCAAUCUGGCGUUACCGUGCAUGGUGGUUUCAGAUCGGGCGCAGGUCGCAGCCAUGGAAGUAAGGGGCAUGGUGGUUUCUGUGAUGUGUAUGGAGGAGCGGUGGAAGGUGAGGAUGACGGACAGGUGGGAAGGCGCAACAAGACUGGAGCUGCAACGCUCGCAUCAUGGUGGCGUGGAGCCGUCCAUCACUACCCAUCGACUCCAGUUUAGAUAUGUACAACAGUCGCCCCGUCGCGAUGUGGUGAAACUACAGGGAAGAGGGAGGAGGCCGGCGACAGGGUGAAGGAGCAGGCCGGCCCUCAUGGAGGCAGCGCUACCAGCUAGCUAGGGAGGCGGUCCGGCUCGCCUCUGCUAUGCCGUGAGCGGCAGCGCUACCUCUGCCUCCAGCCUCACCUCCUCUGCCAACCAUGGGAAAAUUUAGGGGAGACCCAAGGCGAGCUUCCCUCUGUUGCAUGCACUCAUGAUCUCUAAAUAUUUCUGUAGCCUAAAUGCCUAUGUACCAUGUAAGCAAGCCCAACCCAAUGCACAUCAUCAGCUUGAUGAAUGACCAAAUGGUUUGUUUUUCUUGCCAUAUAGACCAUUGACGGGUGUGCAGGAGCCCUUCUAAUUGGUGCUCUAUGUGUGUUUUCUUUUCUUUUGUUGCAGAAUAAUAAUUCGAGUGGAUGGCAAUGCGCCUUGUUGUUUAGCGGUAUGAUGGUCGGUGAAAGUAUGUUCUAUAUAUAUUGCAAGGAUCAUAAGAUGCUUUUACACAUGAUUGUGUGAUGCUCAGAGACAUUUUGCACAGUAGAAACUUCUUGUGAAGCUUGAUUUUAUUCAGAGCCAUAUGAUUUUUUUAUAGAAAAUGUGCAGAGUAAAAUGGACACAGCUUCUGGUACAUCUGAGCACCGACGACCACAAUGGGAUGGAUCAAGCAGCCAAGACUCAGAGUGUGGUCGGGCGGCGCCAUGGGGCAGAUCUGUGCGGUGCAAGGGGCGGUAGAUGUGAAACUGAAGCUUCCCCGCUAACUUCGAAGCAGUCAAUUGAGCAGAUGGACAUGACGCGAACCCAGAAGGGGGAGGCUCCUGAAUAAUUCAUAGGACAACAGCUGAAUAAUUGGAAGACUCAUUUUGUACACACAAGAUAGUACAGACAACAUAAUGCCUAGUCAUUUUUGAAUUAGGUUCAGAUAGAGUGAGGAUUGGUGCUGCCGCCCCUGGUAGGAGCCCAAUGUCCUAAUCGAACUACUGUCAUGGAGAGGGCAAUACGUGGAUUUGCUUCAGAUAUUGGAGACAACGCCAUUGUGCCGAAGCUCGGAACAAUCUUCGAUACAUUGGGUGAAGCAUACGAUUUUUACAAUCUGUAUUUAUGGGAGAAAGGAUUUGGCAUUUGAUAUGGUAAAAGUUGUCUGAAUGUCGAGAGGACGUGGAAAUCUAUUGUGGAUAAUACUGGUCUUGCCGGCGUUAGUGCCCUACUCUGAUAAGGCUGCUGCAGUCUGAACCAUUCAUUGUCUCGCACGUAUGCGCAGACGAUACACUGAUGAUCGCACAAGCACAUCAACGUGUACAGCAGGGAUUUGAUGAAGAAUUUGAGGCAGAACAAUGUGAACCCUGCUAAAGUGCACAACAUUAGGCAGUUUCUUUGGGUCGAUGGAGAAUGUGCCUUUCACAAAAAGAGCUUCAAGGAGCUUGUGUGGCAAAAUAAGCCGCGAGCAACCGGCUGAUGAUGUUAGUUAAACGAUGGAGGUGUUUGCGGAGCUUGGUUCAAAGGAUCCUCACUUCACAUAUCAUGUGCAGGCCGAUAAGGAGGAGAGGAUAAACGCACUCAUGUGUGUAAAUGGGGACAGUAGGCUGGUGCAAAAAAGACUGUAGCUUAUUCUCAAAUUUUCUGUCUCUAAUACUGAAUUUGGUGUGUACCGAUAAAUCAUGUAGCGCGUGAGAUCCAUCAUGCAGUUUAACUGCUAAUCCCAAUUAUGUUAUGCAUGCCCUGAAGCUGA
Long non-coding RNA from Triticum dicoccoides, 2527 nucleotides. RefSeq lists it as uncharacterized. The record is from RefSeq and is a predicted model, not a curated record. Lineage: Eukaryota; Viridiplantae; Streptophyta; Magnoliopsida; Poales; Poaceae. The transcript is spliced from 8 exons.